UACUGCUAAGACUGGAUAGGAGACAAGAAGGCAUCUUCUUGUUUUUAAAAGACCUAGCAAUAGGUAUGCUUAGGGAGGAGCUUGCGUCACAUUAGUUAGUUGGUGGGGUAAAGGCCUACCAAGACUAUGAUGUGUAGCCGGGCUGAGAGGUUGAACGGCCACAUUGGGACUGAGACACGGCCCAAACUCCUACGGGAGGCAGCAGUAGGGAAUUUUCGGCAAUGGAGGAAACUCUGACCGAGCAACGCCGCGUGAACGAUGAAGUAUUUCGGUACGUAAAGUUCUUUUAUUAGGGAAGAAUAAAUGAUGGAAAAAUCAUUCUGACGGUACCUAAUGAAUAAGCCCCGGCUAACUAUGUGCCAGCAGCCGCGGUAAUACAUAGGGGGCAAGCGUUAUCCGGAAUUAUUGGGCGUAAAGGGUGCGUAGGCGGUUAAAUAAGUUUAUGGUCUAAGUGCAAUGCUCAACAUUGUGAUGCUAUAAAAACUGUUUAGCUAGAGUAAGAUAGAGGCAAGUGGAAUUCCAUGUGUAGUGGUAAAAUGCGUAAAUAUAUGGAGGAACACCAGUAGCGAAGGCGGCUUGCUGGGUCUUUACUGACGCUGAGGCACGAAAGCGUGGGGAGCAAACAGGAUUAGAUACCCUGGUAGUCCACGCCGUAAACGAUGAGUACUAAACGUUGGGUAAAACCAGUGUUGAAGUUAACACAUUAAGUACUCCGCCUGAGUAGUACGUACGCAAGUAUGAAACUUAAAGGAAUUGACGGGACUCCGCACAAGCGGUGGAUCAUGUUGUUUAAUUCGAAGGUACCCGAAAAACCUCACCAGGUCUUGACAUGCUUCUGCAAAGCUGUAGAAACACAGUGGAGGUUAUCAGUUGCACAGGUGGUGCAUGGUUGUCGUCAGCUCGUGUCGUGAGAUGUUGGGUUAAGUCCCGCAACGAGCGCAACCCUUAUUGUUAGUUACCAGCACGUAAUGGUGGGGACUUUAGCAAGACUGCCAGUGAUAAAUUGGAGGAAGGUGGGGACGACGUCAAAUCAUCAUGCCCCUUAUGACCUGGGCUACAAACGUGAUACAAUGGCUGUUACAAAGGGUAGCUGAAGCGCAAGUUUUUGGCGAAUCUCAAAAAAACAGUCUCAGUUCGGAUUGAAGUCUGCAACUCGACUUCAUGAAGUUGGAAUCGCUAGUAAUCGCGAAUCAGCAUGUCGCGGUGAAUACGUUCUCGGGGUUUGUACACACCGCCCGUCAAACCACGAAAGUUGGCAAUACCCAAAGCCGGCGGCCUAACUUCGCAAGAAGAGGGAACCGUCUAAGGUAGGGUCGAUGAUUGGGGUUAAGUCGUAACAAG
This 1341-nucleotide ribosomal RNA is filed under the name Candidatus Phytoplasma asteris-related phytoplasma. RNAcentral's name for it is "bacterial SSU rRNA". It matches the Rfam family "Bacterial small subunit ribosomal RNA", at positions 158 to 1495 of the family's 1533-position model. Lineage: Bacteria; Bacillati; Mycoplasmatota; Mollicutes; Acholeplasmatales; Acholeplasmataceae. The record is from RNAcentral.